GCUGGGCACGAUGACGCAUGCCUGUAAUCCCAGCAGCUCAGGAGGCUGAGACAGGAGGAUCUCAAGUUCAAAACCAGCCUCAGCAGCAGUGAGACACUGAGCAACUCAGUGAGACCCUGUCUCUA
Molecule: small RNA, 125 nt
Filed under: Marmota monax (woodchuck)
Lineage: Eukaryota; Metazoa; Chordata; Mammalia; Rodentia; Sciuridae
Source: RNAcentral